RNAcentral lists this long non-coding RNA (1409 nucleotides) under Marmota monax (woodchuck). Lineage: Eukaryota; Metazoa; Chordata; Mammalia; Rodentia; Sciuridae. The record is from RNAcentral.
CUGUGACUGUAUUUUUUAACUUGCACAAAAGCAAUUGUGUUACUCCCUUUUCACGUGCUGAUUUCACUGGUGGCUGGGUGCUUCCAAUACCCAGGCACUGAUUUUCAGUGCUGCAGCUUAUUCUAUGGAAUGCAUCCCUCCUAGUGCAUGCCAGAUGGGUGUCCAUCCAUUGGACAUGUGCAGUUUUGUUUUGGAGGGGCAGGUUACAAGGGAUUGAAUUCAGGGGCACUUGACCACUGAGCCACAUUCCCAGCCCUAUUUUGUAUUUUAUUUAGAGACAGGGUCUCACUGAGUUGCUUAGCACCUCACUGGUGCUGAGGCUGAAUUUGAACUCGCAAUCCACCUGUCUCGGCCUCCCGAGCCACUGGGAUUACAGGCGUAUGCCACCAUGCCUGGCUCAUGUGCAGUUUUUCCUUCGCUUUUCCGUGUUGCAAACAAUCCUGUGAUGGAUCUCCUUCAUCCUAUUCUCUCAUGUGAAACUUCCUUCAGGAUUUAUACCCAGGGGAGAUCAACUGAGUUGCAGAAUCUCAGACAUCUAAUUAAUACUGCCAGCUUUGUUGCCUGAACCACAAAUCUAGGUAACUAGAAAUUAUGUGCUUUUUUGUGAGUCUCUGAAGUACUUAGCACCACCUAUGGCUUGGUCUUGCAGGGGAAAAACAAGUGGGAAGUGAGAAUAAAUGUAGCUAGCGAUGGUCCAUAGGGGUUAGAUGUAUGCUAUCUCUACUUCUGUGCUUUGUUGGAAAUUUGAUAAUAAAAGUAAUAUAUAGGGGCUGGGGUUGUGGCUCAGUGGUAGAGCACAUGCCUUGCACGUGUGAGGCACUGGGUUCCAUCUUUAGCACCACAUAAAAAUAAAAUAAAGGUAUUUUGUGUCCGUCUACAACUUAAAAAAAAAUUUUUUUUUAAAGUAAUACAUAAACAUAAGCACUCAUGCAGUAAAUCCACCACUCUGGUUUUCAGUUGUAUAUUGCUGAACUUAAUCCUUCCUUGAUUUAUUAAAUUUAUACAAAUUGGGACAAAUUACACAGUACAGAAAUAAUGAGAAUCACUUAAAGAACUUUAGCAAAGGGAUAAAAGAGAAAUAAAUAAAAAUACACCUUUAUGAAUUCAGAUGCUAAGAGAUACGCUUUGUAACUUUUUACCUUUCCAUCUGUGGCCUCAAAAUUGUCUUAAUUCUUUUUACUACCAUUUUCAAACUUGUGGUAAGUUCCAUGUCUUAACAUCUAAAAGUGUUAUUUUUAUUUAAAAUUUUCCACAUAUUAUUACUUUUUACAUUACGUAUCUUCUUUUUAGCUCUAAUGUUGUUAUGGAAAAUUCUGAUAUUCAUUUUAUUUUUCUUGGUCUUAAUUGAUUCAUUUUAUCUCUCUGGAAACUUUUAUAAUUGUUUUCCUUUGAAAUUAUUACAAAGUGUC